CAUCUCUCAGCUCCGCUGGAUCACACUGGCCCAGUGUGUGCUUGGCGUGUUUUUAAGGGAGAGAGAGGAUAGCGCUCCUAAUGCACGGCAGACCAGCCCCAAAGUGGCUUCUCUGCUCCCUGGGGUGCAACAGCU
Molecule: small nucleolar RNA, 135 nt
Organism: Cricetulus griseus (Chinese hamster)
Lineage: Eukaryota; Metazoa; Chordata; Mammalia; Rodentia; Cricetidae
Product: small nucleolar RNA SNORA64/SNORA10 family
Source: Ensembl